This is a long non-coding RNA of Engraulis encrasicolus (European anchovy), 699 nucleotides long. RefSeq lists it as uncharacterized. The record is from RefSeq and is a predicted model, not a curated record. NCBI's taxonomy places the organism in Eukaryota, Metazoa, Chordata, Actinopteri, Clupeiformes, Engraulidae. The transcript is spliced from 2 exons.
GCUUUUCCGUGGAGCCGUUCCAGUCAGUUGAGCUGAGAAGAGCUCGAAAGCUGAAGGAAAGAUUUCGUUUCUUCUGCUCCACCUUGGAGCUAGAUAUUGAUAGAAAAUUAAUUCUAAGUUAAAGAUACCUACUUCUAAGUUUCAUUUUGGACCACCGAGCGACCUGCUCUGUAAAUCUUUUGUGUUUUGAAGAGCAAGAAGCUGCGCUUCGUCGUGUAUUGUUUCUGUUGAAUCGUCUCGGUGAAGUUUUUUGGACCUGGAUUCCGCUGUGGAUUGAUGACUGCGUUUGAUGGCGAGCCACCCACCCCAUUGAGUCGGAUCCUGUCCUGUGUCAUUGUACAUGGCGCAUGUGGUAGGGUUGUGACCUGCCUGUGUCACAACAACACUGACUGACUGACUUGAGUUGUUACUUUAACGGUUUACAAACUGAACUAAGGCCUUGAACUGAACGGAACUACUAUAAAGGAACUGCAUUUUCUUUUUUUUUUUCUUGAACAACUGAAAGGAACUCUUUUCUCUUUGAGGAUUUAAAGGACUGAUUUAAAGGACUGUUCCCAACUUUUGGAAAAUAGACAAUUACUCACUUUUGAAGGACAAUUCAUUUUAUUUUAUUUUAAAGGGUCAAUUCUUUUCUUUUAUUUUGGGAAUAUGUACAUAUUUUCUACCUUGCAAUUCAUAACUAAAGAAAGAAAAAAAGUA